UGAGGCGGCCGCAGGGAAGGGAGGCGGCGGGCCGGGGCUACACACUCGCCCUCCGGCCCUGCGCACAGAGGCGCCCGAGCCCCCUGCGCCGCGCCGCGCUGUCUGCGGGCGAGAAGAGCUGGAAGCCACCUCCACGCACGUUGGCGCACAACCACAACACGUAUUUCCUGUGCACCUACUAUGUGCUAGGUGCUGUACCAGCUGCUGUGACACAAAGAUAAAUGAGGACAUUGGCCUGAUGCGGUGACGGGAAACGCAACCCGGCAUGGGGAGGGCUGCCACAGUGGAAUUUGGAAAUGCAGCUAUGAAUAUGUUCAUAUGACGGAUAAACCAUCUGGAGCUUCAACAAAACAGAACACAUAAUAAAAAGCAUAAUUAAAAAUCAUGAUCAGGACUUUCCUAGUUACGAAAAUGAAGAUCCUUUAUUGAAAAUGGUCUAUUCCUCAACCAGAGCUAAGUAAAUAUAGAGAAAAGAUCAAGAGGAAAACCAAUAUGUACCCAAACUGGAUGCUUCAUACACCAAAAGAACUCCUGGUUUUCAGUGAAAACUCUACACUGACUGCAGUCAUGGGACCCUUCACACUCAUAUCAUUGGCUCUUCUGGACUCUUCUACAAAGAGAUCAGACAACUGAAUAA
Long non-coding RNA from Hyaena hyaena (striped hyena), 637 nucleotides. RefSeq lists it as uncharacterized. The record is from RefSeq and is a predicted model, not a curated record. The transcript has 3 exons. NCBI's taxonomy places the organism in Eukaryota, Metazoa, Chordata, Mammalia, Carnivora, Hyaenidae.